RNAcentral lists this long non-coding RNA (982 nucleotides) under Numida meleagris (helmeted guineafowl). RNAcentral describes it as "lncRNA (ENSNMEG00000007078.1)". The record is from RNAcentral. Lineage: Eukaryota; Metazoa; Chordata; Aves; Galliformes; Numididae.
CCCUCACUCAGACCAGAUGGUCAAUGCUUGCAGAGCAGUAACUGGGCAAGAUAAAGGAGGGAUGAAAAUCACUAAAUUCAGCACCCAAGGAGCCAGUAGCAUCCUGUUGCAAGUCAUUCCUUUGCUAAAUACUUUUAACAGCCUCAGAGUGUCAGCACAGCCCUGGGAGUCCUGUGGAAUGAGCAGCUCCAGGUGCAGAUCCCAGAGAGCAUCAGCAAGUAGAUGGCAGAUCUGAGACACCAGUUUACCUCUUUUGGAUUCCAAGAGCAUGAAUAACACUGAGCUGCCACUGCUGAAAGACCACUGCUCCUGGGAAGAAUGAGGUCUUUUGGAGGAUCACAUCCAGUGACAGGCCUUUGCAGACUGGAAAGAAAUCAUGGAAGGGUGCAUCCCUUUAAGAAUAAGGUUGGCACUGCUAACAAUAUGAAAUCCACAUAGGGAAUCAGCACAUCAUGAACUCAUGGAAGAAGUUCUGCUGCAGGGAUUUAGUCAAAGUCAUGCUCCAAACUGGGAUAAAAUCAGCAUGAAUACAUUGGUCAUGGCCUGCUUAGUGCAUUGGUGGCUCCUAAAUGAGAAAAUGGAAACCAUAUCUUUCGUGGAACUGAUGCAGGAACAUUUGCCUGAAGGAGAUCCGUCUAUUAGCAUUUUCCACUCUAUCUCUGACAUCUAGUAGAUUGUGACAUUGCUUUCCAUGCCUAAAUGAAAGAGCAAGAUUUAAGUUUUCUCUUUUAAACAAGAAUGUAAAUAAGCAGACAACACAGCUUGGAGUCUCUGCACAUACAGAUAAUCCCAGGGCAGACCACACUAAUACCAGUAAGAAGAAAAUUCUGAUUUUUGCAAAAAAACUGAAUGAAGUCCUCUUAAUCUUCCAGGGGUAACUCUAGCACAAAAAUAUAUUUUUAACUGAGAUAUAAUCAUAUUCAAACCAACAAGAUCAAAUAUGUUUUGCUAUCAGAUUGGAAUAAAUAAAUUACAUUUCACA